GGGAGACACACGGCGGGUGCUAACGUCCGUCGUGAAGAGGGAAACAACCCAGACCGCCAGCUAAGGUCCCAAAGUCAUGGUUAAGUGGGAAACGAUGUGGGAAGGCCCAGACAGCCAGGAUGUUGGCUUAGAAGCAGCCAUCAUUUAAAGAAAGCGUAAUAGCUCACUGGUCGAGUCGGCCUGCGCGGAAGAUGUAACGGGGCUAAACCAUGCACCGAAGCUGCGGCAGCGACGCUUAUGCGUUGUUGGGUAGGGGAGCGUUCUGUAAGCCUGCGAAGGUGUGCUGUGAGGCAUGCUGGAGGUAUCAGAAGUGCGAAUGCUGACAUAAGUAACGAUAAAGCGGGUGAAAAGCCCGCUCGCCGGAAGACCAAGGGUUCCUGUCCAACGUUAAUCGGGGCAGGGUGAGUCGACCCCUAAGGCGAGGCCGAAAGGCGUAGUCGAUGGGAAACAGGUUAAUAUUCCUGUACUUGGUGUUACUGCGAAGGGGGGACGGAGAAGGCUAUGUUGGCCGGGCGACGGUUGUCCCGGUUUAAGCGUGUAGGCUGGUUUUCCAGGCAAAUCCGGAAAAUCAAGGCUGAGGCGUGAUGACGAGGCACUACGGUGCUGAAGCAACAAAUGCCCUGCUUCCAGGAAAAGCCUCUAAGCAUCAGGUAACAUCAAAUCGUACCCCAAACCGACACAGGUGGUCAGGUAGAGAAUACCAAGGCGCUUGAGAGAACUCGGGUGAAGGAACUAGGCAAAAUGGUGCCGUAACUUCGGGAGAAGGCACGCUGAUAUGUAGGUGAAGUCCCUCGCGGAUGGAGCUGAAAUCAGUCGAAGAUACCAGCUGGCUGCAACUGUUUAUUAAAAACACAGCACUGUGCAAACACGAAAGUGGACGUAUACGGUGUGACGCCUGCCCGGUGC
Molecule: ribosomal RNA, 906 nt
Filed under: Escherichia coli
Lineage: Bacteria; Pseudomonadati; Pseudomonadota; Gammaproteobacteria; Enterobacterales; Enterobacteriaceae
Description: partial 23S ribosomal RNA
Rfam family: Bacterial large subunit ribosomal RNA
Source: RNAcentral